UCCGUAGGUGGAUAAUUAAGUCAGAGGUGAAAGUUUGCAGCUCAACUGUAAAAUUGCCUUUGAUACUGGUUAUCUUGAGUUAUUGUGAAGUAGUUAGAAUAUGUAGUGUAGCGGUGAAAUGCAUAGAUAUUACAUAGAAUACCAAUUGCGAAGGCAGAUUACUAACAAUAUACUGACACUGAUGGACGAAAGCGUAGGUAGCGAACAGGAUUAGAUACCCUGGUAGUCC
RNAcentral lists this ribosomal RNA (229 nucleotides) under uncultured bacterium. RNAcentral's name for it is "partial 16S ribosomal RNA". It matches the Rfam family "Bacterial small subunit ribosomal RNA", at positions 568 to 796 of the family's 1533-position model. The record is from RNAcentral.